GAGUGAUUUGAAAGUCUCCAUGAAUAGUUUAAGUUUAUGGCCUGUCAGUCUGAGCACAGUCAAGGAUCCAGAACCAUACUUGUUCAAUACUUGUUUGUAGUUGGUACAGGACCAGGUUUAGGACAGAUAGAGUUGCCUGAAGUUGUCAUUUACAAGGCAGCAUAUUAUAUUAUUACCAUACAGAAGAAUACCUACUAUUAUUCUGUUACUGUUAAGUUGGUUGGUAACCUUGGUUAUUAUUAUGAUACAUUGCCUGGCAAGUCAGUAAAGACUAAAGGAGGCUGAUUUUUUACCUAGUAACAAACAUAUGGCAAGUUGGCAACAUUAGAGCAAGAGAACUCACUAAACAGUACAUGUAUUUUCCACCACUUGGUCAGUCACAGUCAGCGCCUCGGCAAUUUGCUUUUGUGAGGUUAUAAGUUCAGUGGCAUCUACAGUAUUUGCUUGUUCAAGUCUGUUGCUUUCUUUGCUUGACCAGAGACAUACAAAGUUUAAUUUAACUUAUGGAAUACUUUUAGUCAAAAAAAUCAUGAUUUUUUUACUAAAAAAAUCAAUGAUUUAAUCAUUGCCAACCCUGUGUGCAAGUAUAGAGAAAUAGUGUUAGUUAAAAGAGAGGAAGGGAAGGGGAUGGAGUUAACAGUCAUGGGUGCAAGGAUAAAGAAAGUGUUAAUGAAGCGUAGGAGGAGGAGAGGAUGGGAGGGCAUUCAAGAGAGGAAGGGACAAGAAUGGAAGGGAAGGGGAUAGAGUUAACAGUCAUGGGGUGCAAGGAUAGAGAAAUAGUGUUAGUUAAGUUUAGUUGGAGGAGAGAGAGGAAGGGACAGGAAUGGAAGGGAAGGGGAUGGAGUAUAGGAAGAGGAGAGGAAGGGACAAGAAUGGAAGGGAAGGGGAUGGAGUUAACAGUCAUGGGGUGCAAGGAUAGAGAAAUAGUGUUAGUUAAGUGUAGGAGGAGGAGGAGAGAGUGGGGCGUCAUUUAGGAGAGAGAGGAAAGGGCCGGCCAAGGAGUCUCACGGCGGAGGUGAUUGGCGUGGUUGGGAAGGUAGAGUGGAGGAGGAGGAGGAGCAGGAACAGUAGUCUCUCAUCUUAAUUCCUGCAAUACAGAACACAAUAUUAGUAAGGUAUAAGAACAGGCCAGGGUGGUAAGAGAAGGGAAACUGAGACUUGUGCUUUGUGAGAGAACUGCGUGAUUAGGGAAAGAGGGAGGGAGUUUGCAGUGAUGGGAUGAAGGGAUGGGAAGGAAUGAAGGCUUGUCAUGCAAAGGGAUGGGAAGGAAUGAAGGCUUCUGACAGGCAAAGGGAUGGGAAGGAAUGAAGGCUUCUGACAGGCAAAGGGAUGGGAAGGAAUGAAGGCUUCUGACAGGCAAAGGGAUGGGAAGGAAUGAAGGCUUCUGACAGGCAAAGGGAUGGGAAGGAAUGAAGGCUUCUGACAGGCAAAGGGAUGGGAAGGAAUGAAGGCUUCUGACAGGCAAAGGGAUGGGAAGGAAUGAAGGCUUCUGACAGGCAAAGGGAUGGGAAGGAAUGAAGGUUUCUGACAUGCAAGAGGAGAAUGGGGUAUGAUCAUAUUGGACUAGGUAUGAGAAAGGAGGGAUGAGAGAUGGAUGAGUAUGCAGUAAUGGGGCAAAGGGAUGAUAUUUGAUGCUUAAAAUAACUUGUCUCCACCCCUAGCUACAGGUUCACACAGUUUCAUCUCCUCGCUACGCAAUUCAACAAACUGUCCACCAAAAUCUUAACUCUACUGUUGUGCUUAAACCCCUGACUGUGGAUUUCCUACCAGAAGACAUCACCCAGCUACAGGAGUGGAGCAAAAAGUGGCUGCUACAAUGUGAUGAAGAAAAAUGUAAAGUCCUGCACCUUGGGAGGGGAUAUCCAGCACACCAAUACCACAUGGGAAACACUCCACUAUCCACCACAGAGGCAGAGAAAGACCUGGGAGUGUAUGUUACCAGGCUACCAGUGAAGGGAUAUCCAGCACACCAAUACCACAUGGGAAACACUCCACUAUCCACCACAGAGGCAGAGAAAGACCUGGGAGUGUAUGUUACCAGGCUACCAGUGAAGGGAUAUCCAGCACACCAAUACCACAUGGGAAACACUCCACUAUCCACCACAGAGGCAGAGAAAGACCUGGGAUUGUAUGUUACCAGGCUACCAGUGAAGGAGAAAUCCGUUCCAGUCACAGCGGACGGGUUAAAAAUAUUGAAUGCUCCUGGAAAUUCACAGUGUAAGGAAAGGUAAGGUAUUGAAUAAGGAGGAAAUGAGAGUAUGUUAGGUGGAGGACAGAAUGAGUACGCUGAGGAGCCAGAGGAUGAGGAAAGUAAGUUGGAAAGUUUGGUUUAGUCGGCGCAACAUCUGUGGUCAUAUGCCGGAGAGAGACAGAAGGGGAAGGAAUUAUAGGAGAAGGAAACAGACCCCAGGAGACAGGAAAAAGUUGGAAAGUUUGGUUUAGUCGGCGCAACAUCUGUGGUCAUAUGCCGGAGAGAGACAGAAGGGGAAGGAAUUAUAGGAGAAGGAAACAGACCCCAGGAGACAGGAAAAAGUUGGAAAGUUUGGUUUAGUGGGCGCAACAUCUGUGGUCAUAUGCCGGAGAGAGACAGAAGGGGAAGGAAUUAUAGGAGAAGGGAACAGACCCCAGGAGACGGGACACAACCCCCAAUUAAUACCUGGUACCCAUUCACUGCUGGGUGGACAGGGGCGUAGGGUAUCAGAAAAGCCGCCCAAGAAUGGAAAGAUGUUGAUAGAUGGGGAAGCU
This is a long non-coding RNA of Eriocheir sinensis (Chinese mitten crab), 2745 nucleotides long. RefSeq lists it as uncharacterized. The transcript is spliced from 3 exons. The record is from RefSeq and is a predicted model, not a curated record. Lineage: Eukaryota; Metazoa; Arthropoda; Malacostraca; Decapoda; Varunidae.